CCUACGGGAGGCAGCAGUAGGGAAUAUUGCUCAAUGGGGGAAACCCUGAAGCAGCAACGCCGCGUGGUGGAUGAAGGUUUUCGGAUUGUAAACUCCUUUUGUUAGAGAAGAUAAUGACGGUAUCUAACGAAUAAGCACCGGCUAACUCCGUGCCAGCAGCCGCGGUAAUACGGAGGGUGCAAGCGUUACUCGGAAUCACUGGGCGGAAAGAGCGCGUAGGCGGGAUAGCAAGUCAGAUGUGAAAUCCUAUGGCUUAACCAUAGAACUGCAUUUGAAACUGUUAUUCUAGAGUAUGGGAGAGGUAGGUGGAAUUCUUGGUGUAGGGGUAAAAUCCGUAGAGAUCAAGAGGAAUACUCAUUGCGAAGGCGACCUGCUAGAACAUAACUGACGCUGAUGCGCGAAAGCGUGGGGAGCAAACAGGAUUAGAUACCCCGGUAGUC
This 440-nucleotide ribosomal RNA is filed under the name uncultured bacterium. RNAcentral's name for it is "partial 16S ribosomal RNA". It matches the Rfam family "Bacterial small subunit ribosomal RNA", at positions 338 to 795 of the family's 1533-position model. The record is from RNAcentral.